UAGGGAAUCUUCGGCAAUGGACGGAAGUCUGACCGAGCAACGCCGCGUGAGUGAAGAAGGUUUUCGGAUCGUAAAACUCUGUUGGUAGAGAAGAACGUUGGUGAGAGUGGAAAGCUCAUCAAGUGACGGUAACUACCCAGAAAGGGACGGCUAACUACGUACCAG
This 165-nucleotide ribosomal RNA is filed under the name uncultured bacterium. RNAcentral describes it as "partial 16S rRNA". It matches the Rfam family "Bacterial small subunit ribosomal RNA", at positions 355 to 511 of the family's 1533-position model. The record is from RNAcentral.